This 437-nucleotide ribosomal RNA is filed under the name uncultured Lachnospiraceae bacterium. RNAcentral describes it as "bacterial SSU rRNA". It matches the Rfam family "Bacterial small subunit ribosomal RNA", at positions 341 to 792 of the family's 1533-position model. Lineage: Bacteria; Bacillati; Bacillota; Clostridia; Lachnospirales; Lachnospiraceae. The record is from RNAcentral.
ACGGAAGGCAGCAGUGGGGAAUAUUGCACAAUGGGGGAAACCCUGAUGCAGCGACGCCGCGUGAGUGAAGAAGUGUUUCGGUAUGUAAAGCUCUAUCAGCAGGGAAGAAAACAAUGACGGUACCUGACUAAGAAGCCCCGGCUAACUACGUGCCAGCAGCCGCGGUAAUACGUAGGGGGCAAGCGUUAUCCGGAUUUACUGGGUGUAAAGGGAGCGUAGACGGUGAGGCAAGUCUGAAGUGAAAGCCCGGGGCUCAACCCCGGGACUGCUUUGGAAACUGUCUGACUAGAGUGCAGGAGAGGUAAGUGGAAUUCCUAGUGUAGCGGUGAAAUGCGUAGAUAUUAGGAGGAACACCGGUGGCGAAGGCGGCUUUCUGGACUGUAACUGACACUGAGGCACGAAAGUGUGGGGAGCAAACAGGAUUAGAUACCCUGGUA